GCCUUGACCAGAUGGUGCCAAACCGUUUAGAAUGAACCGUAUCCAAAGAUCCAUUUACCCAAACGGUAUGCGAAACGAGGAAAUUGGCCGUAGUAGGCCUAGUUUGACUCUAUCGCCAGACAAGCAGGGGCGGUUCAAUCGAUCUAUCUACGUAAGGGUAGCUCAUUCAAUCUCCCUCGGGGGAGAGGCUUCUUGCCCAGUCCCGAAGUGCUUAAUCUGGGUUGAUCGAUCCUGUCGCAUCUUAAGUUUGAUCGAUUUUGCUGUUUUUGUCUUUCUGUGCCAUCUUCAGGCGAUCCAAUAUCGAGUGGGGUACUUUCGCCGCUACUCCUUUACUCCUACCGUGGCAAUUAGCCCGUAAGGGAAGAUCCCCGCUUUCUGUGCUGUGAGAUAUGUCCAUAAAAUCCCUGCUCGUAUCUUAAUUCGUCUUACUAUUCUUUUUCUCGAAAGAAAGGCAUUCUUGCAAAGAAUCGAAGAGUAUCUGUAAAGGGACCGGCUUCCCAGAAAGUGGAAUGCCCUAGGACUGGAUUCAUCCCCAUAUGGAACUGGGGAGGGAUUCCCUGAAACCAGAGCAAGAACCUAAAGAAAACAAGUGAAAAGGCGCAUCUCUCUAAGCCAAGAUCGUCUGCUCCUCAGCAAUUGAUCCGAAAAGUGCCACAGCUGCUUCUUAGGCGAGCGAAGUGACCUCCGUGGGAAGAAAGAAGCUAAUAGAGUCAUAGAAGAUCUCGAAAGAGGCGAAUUGCCAGAAAGUUUCUCAAAUCCGAUCCUUGCAUCAUCUGAUCUCGACCGGGUUAACUCCUAAAUGAAGGCAGUGAGCAUCGAAUAAGCCAAUUGAGACUAUCGUCUGUUUACAGCAAAUCAAGAUUAGAUGGACAAAGAGAGCUUCAGUCAACACAGUCCUAGAAGCUCCAUUCAUGCCCACUUCUAUUCCUAAGAGCCCAUCAUUCUACUCAAAAGAGGACGGAGGCUACUUUCGGGACAUUGGUUGCAGCGAUUUGUAGACCAAUAGCAAAAGCAGCAACGAUUCGAUGCUCUCAAGCAGACGGCUUCCUUCCUCUGGUUUUCUGCUCUAAGCGGCUAGGAGAGCUAUUGGGAAGUUCUUUCUAAAGAAAGUCUUCUCUUUUAGGUAACUAUCAAUAUCAUAAGAGAAGAAAGCACUACUUCUUUCUUGCUGCUUUUAUUUUAUCUUCAUCUAUUCCAUUAUUCUUCACUUACUAAAGUCAAAGUAGUAAUUCAAUUAGCAAUUGAGUUCUGAUCAAACAUGUGCUGUCUUCUAUUCCGAUGUAUUUGCUACAGGUAUUGACCCCUCCUAGGUAGGUUUUGACUUUGCUUGGGAGGAUGUUCAAUCGAUUUUUGUGGGAUCGUGGUGAUGAUAAGCGAAUACAUUGGAAGUCCUGGGAUGAUCUUUGCUACCCGUUAGAGGAAGGAAGAUUGGCCAUUUAGAGACCGCGUGUUUCAAGAAAGAUCCAUCGCUGAAGCCUGAAAAGGUGACCGCCAAGCCUCCAUCUAAUCAGGUUUCGAAGCAAAUUUAUGUGCCGAAGCAGAGUGAGGUUCCAAAGUCAGAUACUUCAAUUAAGAUUAAUGAGGGUAAGCAGGUGGUGAAUGUGGAAUCUGUGAGAUCCCAUGAGUGCUACUAAAUGGCACGUUAGAACCCCCUCCUCGCACUCUAAGAAAAAAGUCAAUACAGGUGCCGCUUCUUCUCCUUAAUCGUAAAUAGCUUCUCUUGAUCGGGUUGACGAGCUUACCCUCCCUGAAGUUUCACCAUCCUCAUCGAAAUCUCUAUAAAAACCAGCAUCCGUGAAAUACGCCUCCUCCACUUCAAAGGGAUUACUGACCGCAUCAAUGUGUACGGGCGUAUUUCCCAACAGCGCCUUAACACACUGAUAAUAGCUUGAAGACACAGCUUUAAAGUGCUGCGUCCAAGGUCGCCCCAAAAGCAAGUGAUACGGAGGAUGAGAAUCUAUCACAUGGACUUUUACCCGGCUUUUCAAAGUCCCCACACGGACUUCUAUGAACAUAAAGCCUUCACUUUCUAACUCAUCCGCCCUUCCACUUUAACUUCCACUUCUUGAGCUGACCCAGCCUGAGUAAAGGCCAUUAAGGCCCCUAGGUAAGACAUAAAGUAGAACGAGAUGAACUCUAAGUUCUAAAUCCAUAGUCAAAGGAGAAUUUUCUUAUCCAGAUAAGUACGUAGAGUGAAAAAGGAAAAAGCUCUACGUGCUUAGAAGGUUGUUCAAUUACAUGGCUGGCUUUUGGGAGAUAGACUUGCACAGAAAGCUAUCCGUUCCAGGAGAAAAAGUAGCUCGAGCAGGAGUUUAUUAACAGCUGAAAAACAGAAGACUGGGGCCUUUUACAAAAAGUCUGGGGCAACCCUCGGGUGAGAAGUGAGAGCUGCUUGAAGUCAUUGAAGUCACUAGUCUUACUAAAGCUAAAGAAGGAACUCCGAGUGAAGAAGAAGAAAAUGACCCUCGGGAGUCAAUCGCUUCCUUAAGCCCGGAAAAUCCAAAUAAGAGUAGAGGCCCUAUUCCUACUGACGCGCUUACUAUAGGAGCGGCAAGUGCCUUUACUCAACUAAUGAAAGAAAAGCAAUUCUUUUUUUCCCGAGCGAACGGUCGAUUCAAAAAGGAGUUGCAUGCAUACUUAUAUAUAUAUUCUAUAUAUUGAUGCCCUCCGGGACUCCGCUUUCGGGGGCGGGGGACGCAUUGUGAGUGUCAUCUAGUGAAGUAGUCUAUUUUACCUUUAUGGCAUUGCCGGAUUGGCUUUACAGGGGUUCACUCCAAGACUCAUGGGGUACUACUACUCCUUAUUCGAUAGAGGGCAUUAGGGCCUUUGUUCAUAGUCAUUUCUUAGUGUAAUUACUUACGAGAUUCAUUAAGAGAAAGGAAGAGAAGAAAAGAAGCUCUCUUGGGGAAGGAAGUCUUUAGCCGCUUUAACUGCUUUCCCUCUCUAUAAGAGUUUCCUGUUCGUAAGUUUAUAGCGCUUUGUCGAGAUGAAGGGAGAAGGUCCAGCUUUACUUAUUCCACAUUCUUUAGGAAUGAAAUAAUCACCUGUUGAUGCGGAAGAAGCGGUCUUAGCUGCUAUCUCUUACUUCCCUAGGGGAGGAAAAAAGAAGCUCUUCUUCCCGGAAAAAAUGCUUGAAUGAGUUGAAUUGGUAGAAGGCGACAGAGGCGAGAGCCUGCUUUACCGAGAACUAGUCUUUUGCAUCAUCAGAUGCUUAUAGAGCACUUAUGUCACUGAAUUGUCUGCCUUAGAGGAUAGACCUCUUGUUUCUGCCUAAAAACAUACUUAGCAUAUUUGAUUAAUAGCUAUUAAGCUAGUUUGAACUCGAAUAGGAGACUCUAAUAAGAGUCGGGUUCUCUUCCAUCCCCGAUGUCAAUUGAUUAGGUUCCACUACUGGGAUUCC
Molecule: long non-coding RNA, 3400 nt
Filed under: Coffea arabica (coffee)
Lineage: Eukaryota; Viridiplantae; Streptophyta; Magnoliopsida; Gentianales; Rubiaceae
Description: long non-coding RNA (CARA_LNC008317)
Source: RNAcentral